This 133-nucleotide ribosomal RNA is filed under the name uncultured bacterium. RNAcentral's name for it is "partial 16S ribosomal RNA". The record is from RNAcentral.
UAUUUAGCCGUCGCUUCUUCUGUAGGUACCGUCAUUUUUUCUUCCCUACUAAAAGCACUUUACGAUCCGAAGACCUUCAUCGUGCACACAGAAUUGCUGGAUCAGGCUUGUGGCCCAUUGUCCAAUAUUCCCA